RNAcentral lists this long non-coding RNA (472 nucleotides) under Olea europaea (common olive). RNAcentral's name for it is "long non-coding RNA (OEUR_LNC002535)". Lineage: Eukaryota; Viridiplantae; Streptophyta; Magnoliopsida; Lamiales; Oleaceae. The record is from RNAcentral.
AAGAUUUUUCGAAAAGCCCUAGCCUGUUAUCACUUAAUUUUGUUUUGUAGGCUGAUUUCUUGUAGUCGUGCCAUGUGAACUCAUUGUACAAACUUUCUUCUCCUUGUUCCAUUAUUGAGGAUAAAGGUGUAACCUUCUCAGUCAAAGGUGGUCCUCCGAAGAAAAUCAUUGAAAUUCGAGAAUUCAAACUGCUUGACAGAACUCUGUGCCUUACACUCCUAAAUCUCCCGUUGGUAAGCACCUGCACACCAUGCCUCAAUUCUGAGAAAGUGAUUUUUUGAUUAAAAAAAAAAAGAAAAAAGAAGAAGAAGAAGCAAAUAGUCCAUUAUUGAGGAUAAAGGUGUAACCUUCUCAGUCAAAGGUGGUCCUCCGAAGAAAAUCAUUGAAAUUCGAGAAUUCAAACUGCUUGACAGAACUCUGUGCCUUACACUCCUAAAUCUCCCGUUGGUAAGCACCUGCACACCAUGCCUCA